Molecule: ribosomal RNA, 484 nt
Filed under: uncultured bacterium
Lineage: Bacteria
Description: bacterial SSU rRNA
Rfam family: Bacterial small subunit ribosomal RNA
Source: RNAcentral
GUCAGGAUGAACGCUGGCGGCGUGCCUAACACAUGCAAGUCGAGCGGAGAUAAGUUGAAGCCUAGCGAUUCUUAUCUUAGCGGCGGAUGGGUGAGUAACACGUGGGUAACCUGCCCUGUACUGGGGAAUAACAGCUGGAAACGGCUGUUAAUGCCGCAUAUGCGCACGGAGCCGCAUGACUCCGGGCGGAAAGAUUUAUCGGUACAGGAUGGGCCCGCGCCGGAUUAACUAGUUGGCGGGGUAACGGCCCACCAAGGUGAUGAUCCGUAGCCGACCUGAGAGGGUGACCGGCCACAUUGGGACUGAGACACGGCCCAAACUCCUACGGGAGGCAGCAGUGGGGGAUAUUGCACAAUGGGGGAAACCCUGAUGCAGCGACGCCGCGUGAAGGAUGACGUAUUUCGGUAUGUAAACUUCUAUCAGCGGGGAAGAAGAUGACGGUACCCGACUAAGAAGCCCCGGCUAACUACGUGCCAGCCGCUGC